Small nuclear RNA from Cervus hanglu yarkandensis (Yarkand deer), 123 nucleotides. The record is from Ensembl. NCBI's taxonomy places the organism in Eukaryota, Metazoa, Chordata, Mammalia, Artiodactyla, Cervidae.
GUGCUAUACGAAAGGAAAGGUGAGCACUGCCCUUGAUAAAGACAGAAGAGGCUCUAGAGCCUGACCACGUGCAUAUGGUUAAGGCACUACCACCUACUUCACUGCAUCUAGCCAUCAUGUUUU